AGUGAACGCUGGCGGUAGGCCUAACACAUGCAAGUCGAACGGCAGCACAGUAAGAGCUUGCUCUUACGGGUGGCGAGUGGCGGACGGGUGAGGAAUACAUCGGACUCUACUUUUUCGUGGGGGAUAACGUAGGGAAACUUACGCUAAUACCGCAUACCACCUACGGGUGAAAGCAGGGGAUCUUCGGACCUUGCGCGAUUGAAUGAGCCGAUGUCGGAUUAGCUAGUUGGCGGGGUAAAGGCCCACCAAGGCGACGAUCCGUAGCUGGUCUGAGAGGAUGAUAGGCCACACUGGAACUGAGACACGGUCCAGACUCCUACGGGAGGCAGCAGUGGGGAAUAUUGGACAGUGGGGGCAAGCCUGAUCCAGCCAUACCGCGUGGGUGAAGAAGGCCUUCGGGUUGUAAAGCCCUUUUGUUGGGAAAGAAAAGCAGCAGGUUAAUACCCCGCUGUUCUGACGGUACCCAAAGAAUAAGCACCGGCUAACUUCGUG
Molecule: ribosomal RNA, 492 nt
Filed under: uncultured bacterium
Lineage: Bacteria
Description: partial 16S ribosomal RNA
Rfam family: Bacterial small subunit ribosomal RNA
Source: RNAcentral